GGCCUUGACAUACUAAGAACUUUCCAGAGAUGGAUUGGUGCCUUCGGGAACUUAGAUACAGGUGCUGCAUGGCUGUCGUCAGCUCGUGUCGUGAGAUGUUGGGUUAAGUCCGCAACGAGCGCAACCCUUUUCCUAUUUGCCAGCGGGUAAUGCCGGGAACUUUAAGGAUACUGCCAGUGACAAACUGGAGGAAGGCGGGGACGACGUCAAGUCAUCAUGGCCCUUACGGCCAGGGCUACACACGUGCUACAAUGGUCGGUACAAAGGGUUGCUACCUCGCGAGAGGAUGCUAAUCUCAAAAAAGCCGAUCGUAGUCCGGAUCGCAGUCUGCAACUCGACUGCGUGAAGUCGGAAUCGCUAGUAAUCGCGGAUCAGAAUGCCGCGGUGAAUACGUUCCCGGGCCUUGUACACACCGCCCGUCACACCAUGGGAGUUUGUUGCACCAGAAGUAGGUAGUCUAACCGCAAGGAGGACGCUUACCACGGUGUGGCCGAUGACUGGGGUGAAGUCGUAACAAGGUAAGCGUAGAUGA
RNAcentral lists this ribosomal RNA (532 nucleotides) under uncultured bacterium. Its description in RNAcentral is "bacterial SSU rRNA". It matches the Rfam family "Bacterial small subunit ribosomal RNA", at positions 977 to 1509 of the family's 1533-position model. The record is from RNAcentral.